RNAcentral lists this ribosomal RNA (662 nucleotides) under uncultured bacterium. RNAcentral's name for it is "bacterial SSU rRNA". It matches the Rfam family "Bacterial small subunit ribosomal RNA", at positions 31 to 683 of the family's 1533-position model. The record is from RNAcentral.
AAACGCUGGCGGCGUGUCUUAAGCAUGCAAGUCNAGCGGCAGGCGCAGCAAUGCGCUGAGAGCGGCGGACUGGUGAGUAACGCGUGGGUAAUCUACCUUUGGCAUGGGGAUAGCCACUAGAAAUAGUGGGUAAUACCGAAUACGUUCCCUGGGGGGAGGUUUCAGGGAAGAAAGGGUGCUACGGCACCGGCCGGAGAUGAGCUCGCGUCCCAUUAGCUAGUUGGUGAGGUAACGGCCCACCAAGGCGAUGAUGGGUAGCCGGCCUGAGAGGGUGUACGGCCACACUGGGACUGAGAUACGGCCCAGACUCCUACGGGAGGCAGCAGCUAAGAAUAUUCCGCAAUGGACGAAAGUCUGACGGAGCGACGCCGCGUGGAUGAUGAAGGCCGAAAGGUUGUAAAGUCCUUUUGCUGGGGAAGAAUAAGUGUGGGAGGGAAUGCCCGCAUGAUGACAUGAACCGGCGAAUAAGCCCCGGCCAACUACGUGCCAGCAGCCGCGGUAACACGUAGGGGGCGAGCGUUGUUCGGAAUUACUGGGCGUAAAGGGCAUGUAGGCGGUCUGGUAAGCCUGGCGUGAAAGGCCACAGCUCAACUGUGGGAUUGCGUUGGGAACUGCUGGGCUUGAGUUAUGGAGAGGGAGCUAGAAUUCCUGGUGUAGGGGUG